RNAcentral lists this ribosomal RNA (1327 nucleotides) under human gut metagenome. RNAcentral's name for it is "bacterial LSU rRNA". It matches the Rfam family "Bacterial large subunit ribosomal RNA", at positions 1115 to 2442 of the family's 2925-position model. The record is from RNAcentral.
GCCAUCCUUUAAAGAGUGCGUAAUAGCUCACUAGUCGAGUGGCACUGCGCCGAAGAUGUACCGGGGCUAAAGCAUAAUACCGAAACUGCGGAUUACUUUGUAAUGGUAGGGGAGCGUUCUAAGUGCGCUGAAGGUUGAUCGUAAGGACAGCUGGAGCGCUUAGAAGUGAGAAUGCCGGUAUGAGUAGCGCAAGACGUGUGAGAAUCACGUCCACCGUUUGCCCAAGGUUUCCUGGGUCAAGUUCGUCUUCCCAGGGUUAGUCGGGUCCUAAGGCGAGGCCGAAAGGCGUAGUCGAUGGACAACAGGUUGAUAUUCCUGUACCACCUAUAUGACUGAUGGAGUGACGAAGGAGGCUAACAAGUGCCUGUUAUUGGAUUCAGGUCUAAGCACAAAGGCUUAUAUGUAGGGAAAUCCGCAUAUUGGUAGGCUGAAGUGUGAUGGCGAAAAAAGUAGCAAUACAAUUGAAGACUUGUGACGCCAAACUUCCAAGAAAAGCUUCUAGGGUUAAUCGUAUAGGUGCCCGUACCGAGAACCGCCACAGGUGGGCAAGGAGAGUAUCCUAAGGUGAGCGAGAGAACUAUGGUUAAGGAACUCGGCAAAAUAACCCCGUAACUUAGGGAUAAGGGGUGGUCUAGCGAUAGACCCGCAGUAAAGACGUCCAGGCAACUGUUUACCAAAAACACAGGUCUCUGCAAAGCCGUAAGGCGAAGUAUAGGGGCUGACACCUGCCCAGUGCUGGAAGGUUAAUAGGAGAGGUUAGUAUUUGACUUUGUCAACAUGAUACGAAGCUUUGAAUUGAAGCCCCAGUGAACGGCGGCCGUAACUAUAACGGUCCUAAGGUAGCGAAAUUCCUUGUCAGGUAAGUUCUGACCCGCACGAAAGGUGUAAUGAUCUGGAUACUGUCUCAACCAUAGGCUCGGUGAAAUUUUAAUACCUGUGAAAAUGCAGGUUACCCGCGACAGGACGGAAAGACCCCAUGGAGCUUUACUGUAGCUUGAUAUUGAAAUUUGAUAUUCUUUGUAGAGGAUAGGUGGUAGACUUUGAUACUAGGACGCCAGUUCUAGUGGAGUCGCCCUUGGAAUACCACCCUUGGAAUAUUAGAUUUCUAACCUAGAACCGUGAUCCGGUUCGGGGACAGUGUCUGGUGGGCAGUUUGACUGGGGCGGUCGCCUCCCAAAUAGUAACGGAGGCGCCCAAAGGUUACCUCAGAAUGGUUGGAAAUCAUUCGCAGAGUGUAAAGGUAUAUAGGUAGCUUAACUGCGAGACUUACAAGUCAAGCAGAUACGAAAGUAGGGCUUAGUGAUCAGGCGAUUCAGUAUGGAAUGGU